UCCUCAAAGGUUAGAUGGCUAUUGCCUAU
RNAcentral lists this small RNA (29 nucleotides) under Bombyx mori (domestic silkworm). RNAcentral's name for it is "ovarian small RNA-27757". Lineage: Eukaryota; Metazoa; Arthropoda; Insecta; Lepidoptera; Bombycidae. The record is from RNAcentral.